CUCGUGGGAUGGACUGUGUUUUAUGAUGUUGUUUGUGGCUGUUUUGUUCCAGUGAACAGGCUGUGAGAAAGCUACUGAAGGAUCGUGAGCUUGGCUGCUGAAGAUCAGUUUGAGCGAGAAGCAGUGGAAACCGGUCAAAGCCGAGUUUGACCAGGUGUCUGCUGUACACUCAAACACCAAAGCCGAGCUGGACAGUCUAGAGCGCCAAACCUUUCUGGAGGAGCCGAAGAACACGACAAUUGAAAACUUAAAAGCAAAACUAAGUGACAUGCACACUGAACACAGAAACCUCUCUGCUGAUUUUGAGGAGAACAAGAAACACUAUCAGGAAUGUUUGAAUUCUGUGAAGGGGUUUGUCAAACACUAUGGCGUUCAAACAUGGGACAGCCACAGUAGUGAUGGGUAAUGUGCACAGGGAUAUAGCUUCCUGUGAACAGAGGAAGUCUCAUCACGCACAGAUUCACUCAGCACUGUUCACUCAACGCCAGGCUGUCAUGAAGGACACAGAGCUUUCUUUGUUGCAGAAGAGGAUGCACAAAGCCAUGCUAAAAUACUUCAAACACCGCAGCGUCUACAGCAAGGCAGAGCUGGCCCGCUUCCAGACCCUCUCCAACCAGAACAACCAGAAAAUGAAAGCCCUCCAGGAGGAGUUGUCAAACGCAAUCCAGCGCCUCUCUCAGUUCCUGCUCUCGCUGACAGAUGACUCAACUACCAGCCAUGUCCCGCAGCAAGCAAACAGACCCAUCGCAGAUGCCGAUGGAUGGAGCAGGA
Long non-coding RNA from Cyprinus carpio carpio, 771 nucleotides. NCBI's taxonomy places the organism in Eukaryota, Metazoa, Chordata, Actinopteri, Cypriniformes, Cyprinidae. The record is from Ensembl.